Molecule: ribosomal RNA, 247 nt
Filed under: uncultured bacterium
Lineage: Bacteria
Description: partial 16S ribosomal RNA
Rfam family: Bacterial small subunit ribosomal RNA
Source: RNAcentral
AUACGGAGGGUGCAAGCGUUAAUCGGAAUCACUGGGCGUAAAGCGCUCGUAGGUGGCUUUGUAAGUCAGGUGUGAAAGCCCUCGGCUCAACCGAGGAACUGCGUUCGAAACUGGGAGGCUUGAGUCCUGGAGAGGGUGGCGGAAUUCCGGGUGUAGGAGUGAAAUCCGUAGAUAUCCGGAGGAACACCGGUGGCGAAGGCGGCCACCUGGACAGGUACUGACGCUGAGGCGCGAAAGCGUGGGGAGC